Molecule: non-coding RNA, 9356 nt
Organism: Podarcis lilfordi (Lilford's wall lizard)
Lineage: Eukaryota; Metazoa; Chordata; Lepidosauria; Squamata; Lacertidae
Source: the annotation of a GenBank genome assembly
AGGUCAGUGCUGUGCAGCUCUUGGAUCACUGAUUGGCUGGAUUAGAAAAUUCCUGUGCAGCGUUCCUCGCUCCUGGUACUGGUUUGCUUCUAACCAUUCCAGCUGCAUUCGCUUCAGAGACCUUUGGACAACUGGCAUUUCCUUGCACGAAUUAUUUGUGUGGGUGUGUGUUCCCUGACAUCUUAUGAUUUAGAGAGCUCCCUAUGAGUGUAUAAUAAUAAUAACAAUAAUAAUGAUAAUGAUUUAUUAUUUAUACCCCGCCCAUCUGGCUGAGUUUCCCCAGCCACUCUGGGCGGCUCCCAAUCGAGUGUUAAAAACAACAUAGCAUUAAAUAUUAAAAACUUCCCUAAACAGGCUGCCUUCAGAUGUCUUUUAAAGAUAAGAAGACCCUCGGCGCUGGGCUGAAUGAUGGGGGUGGAGACGCUCCUUCAGGUAUACUGGACUGAGGCCGUUUAGGGCUUUAAAGGUCAGCACCAACACUUUGAAUUGUGCUCGGAAACGUACUGGGAGCCAAUGUAGGUCUUUCAAGACCGGUGUUAUGUGGUCUCAGCGGCCACUCCCAGUCACCAGUCUAGCUGCCGCAUUCUGGAUUAGUUGUAGUUUCCGGGUCACCUUCAAAGGUAGCCCCACAUAGAGUGCUAUGCAGUAGUCUAAGCAGGAGAUAAAUAGAGCAUGCACCAUUCUGGCGAGACAGUCUGUGGGCAGGGAGGGUCUCAUCCUGCGUACCAGAUGGAGCUGGUAGACAGCCGCCCUGGACACACAAUUGACCUGUGCCUCCAUGGACAGCUGUGAGUCCAAAAUGACUCCCAGGCUGCGCACCUCGUCCUUCAGGGGCACAGUUACCCCAUUCAGGACCUGGGAGUCCCCCACACCUGCCCGCCCCCUGUCCCCCCAAAACAGUACUUCUGUCUUGUCAGGAUUCAACCUCAAUCUGUUAGCCUGUAAGCAAUGAGCCCACAUCCUUGCAUUGUGCGAUGAGUAAAUACUCACCAGUUCUGUGGAACUACUGAGAAGAACUGGAGAACUAAAGGUAAAUUGGUGCUCUCUGCUGCGAUCCUAACAUCACAGACCUAUUUUCCAGGGACAGUCCUGGAUUUAUAGAAGCCAUCCCGGUUUCUGAUUUGAUUCUGGAAUGUCCCGAUUUCCAUAGGAAAAAUGUUGGAGGAUAUGGAGUUAUGUGACCCCCGAGGAAAGGAAAUAAGUAACUAUACAACUUUUAGAAGAAAUCUGAAGGUAGCCCUGUAUUAGGGCUGGGCAAUAACUGGUUUUCAGUAUCGCGAUGUAUCACCAGCUAAACAUUGCGAUGUAUCAAUAAUAGAGAUGGAGCUACGCGGAGGCGAACAGGACAAUGACAACUGCUACUACUUAAGUGUCUAAAACAGAUAAAUGAUGAUAUUGUCAAUUACCUCAUGGUCACUUUCAGCAGCAGGCAAGCCAAAAUGAAUCCAAAUGAGACAUAUAUAUAUAGUUUAUUAAUUUUUCUGUUUUACAAUUUAAAAUACUCAUUUAAACAUCCUUAAAAUAUCAAUGACUUCCCUUCCUCUCUUUCCACGGUUUAUUUUGCAUAUCUGAAAUCCCUGCAUAUUUUACAUAAACUAAACCAUUCAGUAUACCUUUAUUCCAUCCAUCAAAACUUUAUUUACACUGUUUAAUUUAUCUUACUGCUGCCAAUGUUUUCAAGUGUACACAAUUUCCCCCAUUUAUUCAUAGAAUCAUAGAAUCAUAGAGUUGGAAGAGACCACAAGGGCCAUCGAGUCCAACCCCCUGCCAAGCAGGAAACACCAUCAGAGCACUCCUGACAUAUGGUUGUCAAGCCUCUGCUUAAAGGCCUCCAAAGAAGGAGACUCCACCACACUCCUUGGCAGCAAAUUCCAUUGUCGAACAGCUCUUACUGUCAGGAAGUUCUUCCUAAUGUUUAGGUGGAAUCUUCUUUCUUGUAGUUUGGAUCCAUUGCUCCGUGUCCGCUUCUCUGGAGCAGCAGAAAACAACCUUUCUACCUCUUCUAUGGGACAUCCUUUUAUAUAUUUGAACAUGGCUAUCAUAUCACCCCUUAACCUCCUCUUCUCCAGGCUAAACAUGCCCAGCUCCCUUAGCCGUUCCUCAUAAGGCAUCGUUUCCAGGCCUUUGACCAUUUUGGUUGUCCUCCUCUGGACACGUUCCAGUUUGUCAGUGUCCUUCUUGAACUGUGGUGCCCAGAACUGGACACAGUAGUACUCCAGGUGAGGUCUGACCAGAGUAGAAUACAGUGGCACUAUUACUUCCCUUGAUCUACAUGCUAUACUCCUAUUGAUGCAGCCCAGAAUUGCAGUGGCUUUUUUAGCUGCCGCGUCACACUGUUGGCUCAUGUCAAGUUUGUGGUCAACCAAGACUCCUAGAUCCUUUUCACAUGUACUGCCAGGUGUCACCCAUCUUGUAUUUGUGCCUCUCAUUUUUUUUUGCCCAAGUGCAAUACUUUACAUUUCUCCCUGUUAAAAUUCAUCUUGUUUGUUUUGGCCCAGUUCUCUAAUCUGUCAAGGUCGUUUUGAAGUGUGAUCCUGUCCUCUGGGGUGUUAGCCACCCCUCUCAGUUUGGUGUCAUCUGCAAAUUUGAUCAGGAUGCCCUUGAGUCCAUCAUCCAAGUCAUUGAUAAAGAUGUUGAAUAAGACCGGGCCCAAGACAGAACCCUGUGGCACCCCACUAGUCACUCUUCUCCAGGAUGAAGAGCAACCAUUGAUGAGCACCCUUUGGGUUCGGUCAGUCAGCCAGUUACAAAUCCACUGAGUGGUAGCAUAGUCAAUACCGCAUUUUACCAGCUUCUUUUCAAGAAUAUCAUGGGGCACCUUGUCAAAUGCCUUGCUGAAAUCAAGGUAGGCUACAUCCACUGCGUUCCCUUCAUCUACCAGGCUUGUAAUUCUGUCAAAAACGAGAUCAGGUUAGUCUGACAUGACUUAUUUUUCAGAAAUCCAUGCUGACUAUUGGUGAUCACAGCAUUCCUUUCUAGGUGCUCACAGACUGUUUGCUUAAUGAUCUGCUCCAGAAUCUUCCCUGGUAUUGAUGUCAGACUGACUGGGCGGUAAUUAUUUGGGUCCUCUCUUUUCCCUUUUUGAAAAUAGGGACAACAUUUGCCCUCCUCCAGUCUGCCGGGACUUCGCCUGUUCUCCAGGAAUUCUCAAAGAUGACUGCCAGUGGUUCUGAGAUCACAUCUGCCAGUUCUUUUAAUACUCUUGGAUGCAGUUCAUCUGGCCCUGGAGACUUGAAUACAUCUAGACUAGCCAAGUAUUCUUGUACUAUCUCCUUAGUUAUUCUGGGCUGUGUUUCCUCUGCUGAAUCAUCAUUACCUCUUACCCUCAAUUGCAUCUCAUAUUAUUGUUUCUUAACCUUUGAGCCUUGUUUUCUUAGUUGUAAGUGUUCAAUCAAACCCUCCUAGUGAGUCCAUUUCUUUACAGUAUUUCUGUAGGUAGAACAUGAAGGGUUCCCAGUCUUUUAAAAAACUUUCCUUGUCAUUGUCUCUGAUUCUUCCCGUAAGUUUUGCCAUUUCUGCAUAUUCCAUAAGCUUGGCUUGCCAUUCUUCUUAGGUUGGUAUCUUGUCGUCUUUCCAUUUUGGGGCUGGGAGAAUCCUCAGGUAAAGGUGCUGGGAAAGAUGGAGGGCACAAGGAGAAGGGGACGACAGAGGACGAGAUGGUUGGACAGUGUUGUUGAAGCUACCAGCAUGAGUUUGACCAAACUGCGGGAGGCAGUGGAAGACAGGAGUGCCUGGCGUGCUCUGGUCCAUGGGGUCAUGAAGAGUCGGACACGACUAAACGACUAAACAACAAUCACCAUACUUUGGAUUGUCCCGAAUACCACCAUUUGGUAGCCAAGCCCCAAACCCAAAGUCCUGUUGGGAGGCAUUUUGGCUUGCCUGCUAAUGAAACUGAGUGUGUGAAGAUUGAUAAUAUUGUCAUUUAUCUGUUUUAGACCCCAUGUACUGUAGUAGCAGUUGCCAGGACAUUGUCCUGUUCCCCUCUGUAUAGUUCCAUCCUUAUUACAUUGUGGCAGAUUGCAAUGUUUAGCUGGUGAUCGUAUUGCAAAUCCACACCGUGAUCAACUCCCACCCAGAAACCUAUGUCCCCACUGUGGAAGGAUGUGUGGAUCCAGAAUUGGCCUCCACAGUCACUUACGGACUCGUUGUUAAAACCGUGUUUAUGGAAGACAAUCUUACUCGGCUACGAGUGAUCGCGAAAGAAGAUAUUGCAGUGUUUAGCUGGUGACAUUGUGAGGUUUUAGCUGCUGAUAACAUUGCAACAUUUAGCUGGUGAGUUAUGAUGUUCAGCUGGUGAGUUUCCAUGAUGUUUAGCUGGCGAAUUAUCGCGAUGUUGAAAACCAGAUAUUGCCUAGCCCUUACACACAUUGUGAUUCACAAUGUAUUUAGCCAGCUCAAAUAUUAUGAAACAAUUAUCACGAUGUGAACUUGAAACAAGUUUUGGACGAUAUAUUGAUAUAUCUCCCAGCGCUACCCUGUAUAGGAAAGUUUUUUAAAAAAAUGUUUAAUGUUUUGUUAUGUUUUUAUAUAUGUUGGAAGCCACCCAGAGUGGAUGGGGCAAACCAGUCAGAUGGGCAGAGUAGAAAUAAAAAUAUAAUUAUGGAAUAGGCUGACCCUAUUUUCACUGGAGAAGGAAAAGAAGACCUUCAUAGCUGAUAGCUCAAUAAAAACAUGAAUUCAUUGUGCGCCCAACUGUGGGAAAAGGCAAAUCCUCCAGUAAGGAUUUCACCUGGGGAAGGAACUGAAAAUACAGUGGUACCUCUGGUUACGUACUUAAUUUGUUCCGGAGGUCUGUUCGUAACCUGAAACUGUUCUUAACCUGAGGCACCACUUUAGCUAAUGGGGCCUCCCACUGCUUCCCCUGCGCGAUUUCUGUUCUCAUCUUGAAGCAAAGUUCUUAACCCGAGGUAAUAUUUCUGGGUUAGCGGAGUCUGUAACCUGAAGCAUAUGUAACCACUGUACCGUUAUCAUAAUGUCCUUAUGCAACGCCAUUGUGUGACUGCACUUGGGUUUUUCCUACACAUCUGGUCACCCCAUCUCAAAACAGAAAUUGUGGAGCUGGAAAAGGUACAGAAAAGGACAACUGGAAUUAUCAGGGUGAUUUUUUGUGUGUUUUUGUUUAGAAAAGUGAAUCAGAGGAGGACCUGAUAGAGGUGCAUAAAACUGUGCAUUGUGUAAAGUAAUUGGAGGGACACGAGUGGCGCUGUGGGUUAAACCACAGAGCCUAGGACUUGCUGAUCAGAAGGUCGGCGGUUCGAAUCCCCGCGACGGGGUGAGCUCCCGUUGCUCGGUCCCUGCUCCUGCCCACCUAGCAGUUCGAAAGCAUGUCACAGUGCAAGUAGAUAAAUAGGUACUGCUCCAUCGGGAAGGUAAACGGCGUUUCCGUGCGCUGCUCUGGUUCGCCAGAAGCGGCUUAGUCAUGCUGGCCACAUGACCCGGAAGCUGUACGCCGGCUCCCUCGGCCAAUAAAGCAAGAUGAGCGCCACAACCCCAGAGACGUCCGCGACUGGACCUAAUGGGCAGGGGUCCCUUUACCUUUUUAAAGCAAUUGGAUAGUGGGAAACUUUUCUCCCUCUUUCGUGAUACCAGAACUCCGGAUUAUUCAAUAAAGCUGAGUGUUGCAUGAUUCAGAAUCGACAAAAAGAAAGUACUUUGCCCCACCGUAUUUUAGUUAAACACUCCGUUCCAACAAGAAGUAGUGAUGGCCACCAAUUUAGCUUAAAAGGGGUGUUAUUUCAUGGAGCAUAAGGCGCUCAGUGGCUGCUAAACACUACUACUACUAUUUUUAUUAUCUGUAUUCUGCCCAUCUGACUGGGUUGCCCCAGCUACUCUGGGCGGUUUCCAACAAAAUACGCUACACAGUAAAACAUCAAACAUUUAAAAACUUCCCCAUACAAGGCUGCCUUCAGAUGUCUUCUAAAAAUUGUAUUGUUGUUUAUCUCCCUGACAUCUGGUGGAAGGGCGUUCUACGUUAUUAUUAAUACAAACGCUAAGUGUGUUUAUUAGGAGACAUUUGUAUUGAAAUGCUUAUGAAUUUUCAUGAGAUUGUUAAGUCUGUAAGGCAAAAUGCUACAGAAAUGUAGAGAACUGAAUCUGAGACUGGGAAAAUGAGAAGCAGAGAGAAAUCAAAAUUUACAGAUUCAUCCCCCCCUCUUGGUUAAUAUCCUUUCCCCCCCUUACCUGCAAUGAACUUGUUCCCAUCUGAGGCUUGUGAAGCUUAUCAGCAUUCACGGGAAGAACCAGGUGGAGAGAAAUAAUCAGCCACACGCAAUGAUAUUAUUAAAAUGAACUGUUUAUAUUAUCUCAGUUGAGUCAAUACAGUAUAAUGUAUUAAAAUGGAAAGGUACAAAAUUGAAAUAAAUACUUUCUGAGUCAUGUAUAAAUCUUUUGUCAAGAUGACAUUUUGUUUUUUUGUGUUUUUUGUGUUUGUUUCUUUUUUUCAUCAGUACAUGUUUCAAUAAAACAUUUAAAAUGACAUUUAAAGUAUCAUCUAAAAUAUGGUUUGUGGAAGAAGAGACGCUCAACUCAGACAGAUUUUGGCUUGUUUUGGUAUGAGAUCUUGACAUAAUCUUGGUUCCCCAAAACCACGUAAAUGGUGGUAAAAUAUUAAAUGCUUUAACUCAUUUUAAAAAAAUAAACAGGCUUUACCAAAUCCCCUCUAAUCCUUAACUCAACCACUCUCCUGUGUAUUCUGCCACUUAACGAUAUAUACAUUCAUUAGUGUCCAAGGGAAGACAGCCACUGACUUUCAUUGAAAAUAACUUGGUGGAGAGCAGAAAAAAAAGAUAAAACCCAAUGAACAUUAUGAAGCUGAUGACAACAAUUCACACUUUGCAUUUUUUUAAAAGGACUAGUCUCGGCAGUGCAGAAAAAGAAAUCAAAAGAAAAUUAAAACACCUUACACAUGGAACAGGGAAAGAGGCAUUUAUGGAAGUGAAGGUCUGAAGCAAGAAGCUAUAGUUAGCUAAAUGGAGGGGAUUUUUUUUUUAUCCAAUGAAAGAAGACUCUACCCAGUCAAAAGCUUUUUUUCCAGCCUAAUUGUCGCGUUGCGAUUUUGGGGGGCUGGGGGGAGCAAGGGGGCUAAAGCUAGGAGAGAAGAGUUGCAACAUGUGUGGUGUCCACAAUAAUUCAUCCAGUUUGAGGCUCCCUGGGCCCAAAAUGGUUGGCAGCCCCUGAUUGGUUCCAUGGAAAACAAUUGUUGGAAUUCAGGAUUAGUUAGUGCAUCUUAGUUCCCAAUGAAAUCAGAGGGACUUCAGUAAAGACAGAGCUAACUUCUAUUGAUUUUAGGGGGAGGCUAUGUUAAAUGAAUUAGUUUGAGUAAUUUGAGAAUGGAAUCAAUUCUGACAAGUGGUGGUGGGCUCUAACUCACUGGAGGUCUUCAAGCACAGAGACUGGUCAGUCCCCUACUGGGGAUUGUUGACCUCUGGAUUCCCUGGAUUGAUGUUGAACUAGAUGACCUUGAAAAUCCUUCCAAUGUUAUGAUUCCCACCUGGAUCUAACCCAAUGGUUCUUACCUCCAAGCAAUGAGUGAGAGAUCAAGUGAUGUCAUCCUGUGGGUACCACAUUUCCCCAGAGGUCCAUUUAGCAAGUCCCUAGGGUAUUAGCAUUGUAGCAAACCUACACUUUGGGAUACACUUUCCCCAAGAAAUUAGUAUGGCACUAACAAUUUCUUCUCUUAGGUGCCUCAUUAAGACUUUUUUAAAGCAAUAUUUUCCCCCACCAGCUUUUUUCAAGAUAGUGUUAUUGGAUAAAUAUUGUUCAGGCUGGUUUCACAAAGCAUUCUUAUAGCUUAGACUUCGCAUUUUGUUUUUAUUCAUUUGUGCAGCACCACAAAUAUUUUCAAGUUCUGGGUCUUUAAAAAAAUUCUUAAAAGAAAAUAGAUAAAGCAUUUGGGAUUGAGGUUACAGAUGUGGAGGACAACUUUCACACCAACCUGUAUCAGGGCUUUUUUCUGUUUCCCCAAAUAAGACCACAAUCCUCUUUGUAUCAGAGAAGGCAUUCAUAUGACCGUGUACCUAUCUAUGGGCAUUUCUCAUGGGAUGUAGCAGAAAAACCGGGUUUGUUCCCGAGAGUGAACUCGACUAUACCUGUUUGAUAUGAAUUUCCAAACCUGCAUUUGUCUCACUCACCUGACAUUUUAGAUGUGCAUUUAUCUACCUGCAUGUUCCAAUAAUAGUCAAAGUUUAGGGUCAGUUCAGAUGCUGUUGUGUCUGUUGUUUUCCAGCAUGUUGUAGGUUGUGUGAGCACACAAGUGUGGCUCACAGGAUUUCUGACUGCUCCACUCCUCCCCCCCUUUUAAAUAAGUUGUGGAAAUCAAGCUAUUUGACUCAUGCAUGAAUUCCUGCAUGAAAUUGGGGGGUGGGGUGGUAUGUGCAAUAAACUGUAAUAACACAAGCUUACCAACAUCUGGACCAGCCUGUAGACAGUGAUGGGUUUUAUUGAACAGUGAAGUCUUGGGAGUACAGAAUGCUGAACUAGAUGAGCAGACUGUUCCAAAUGUCCUUAUCUUUCAGAACUUAUUUUGCAGACUUUUAUAUUUCAGCCUCAGCCUGAAGUGUUGUGGGCAGGCAGGCAACACCCUUUUGAAGGACAGUGGCCAAUUUUGAAGGAUAGUGGCCGAUUUGGGAUGUUCAGAUGCUCUGCAUGUGUGCUGAGGUGGCUCUGUGAUUUAGCCCCAGAGGUUCCUGUCCGAUUGUUCCAUGGUGUGGAGGGAUCAAAUCUCAAACUCCGGCCCUCCAUUCUCUUUCAAAAUCGUGCUUUCCUUCACCGUUUACAGUCCUGACUUCCUGCACUUUUAUAUUUUAUAAAUACAAAUAUUUUAUAUUAUAUUUUGAAAACAUCUCAACAACACAUCACAUGUAAUAACUUGUUUACACACUAUUUAAUAACAGAAAAUGAGCAAUCCCUCCUCCCAUCUUACUCCAUGCCAGGGACUGCAGAGUUGUUGUUUUUUUAAGAGCUUGUACACCAUGAUGUGACUUAUUUUGUGAGCCAUAAGUAGAGGCAAGGCUUUUUUCCAGGCAGAACUCACCACUGCCAUUACAAGACAACAAGGGAGGCGCUGAUGGUGAGUUCUGGUACCUCUUUUUCCAGGAAAAUAGCACUGAGCAGGGAAAUCCAUCUAAGCGGCCUGAGGGAAAACUCAAAUCUGAAACGAGUGGGAAAUAAUAUUGGCCUAUCUUAAAGGGCUUUUGCAUGAACUACUGGUUGGGCAUUUGAAAGAGUCGUCAUUAUUACUAUUUAUCUUGCAGGACGGAAGCUCAGCAACUGCUUAACCGCACCACACAUUCUCAGGAUGUGAUAACUUUUGGUAGAUGCAGCACCGAACUGCUCCAGUUACCUGAAUUUCACCAGGG